Molecule: long non-coding RNA, 310 nt
Organism: Cyprinus carpio carpio
Lineage: Eukaryota; Metazoa; Chordata; Actinopteri; Cypriniformes; Cyprinidae
Source: Ensembl
ACAACAGCAGAGACAUCAAUGACAACAGACAGCACCACAAUAGAUACUACAACAGAAAAAAGCACCACCACCAGUACCACAACUUUAGAAAGUACAACAGCAGAAACUUCAACAACAAUUGAAAGCACCACAACUGAGACAACAACAGAAAGUACAACCACAGGCACCACAACAGAAAGUACAACCACUGGUACCACAACACCAGAAAGUACAACAGCAGAGACAACAAUAGCAACAGACAGCACCACAAUCGAUGCUACAACAACAGAAAGCAACACCACCGUUACCACAACUUUAGCAAGUACAGCAG